This 468-nucleotide ribosomal RNA is filed under the name uncultured bacterium. Its description in RNAcentral is "partial 16S ribosomal RNA". It matches the Rfam family "Bacterial small subunit ribosomal RNA", at positions 28 to 507 of the family's 1533-position model. The record is from RNAcentral.
GACUAACGCUGGCGGCGUGCUUAACACAUUCAAGUCGAACGGAAAGGCCCUGCUUUUGUGGUGUGCUCGAGUGGCGAACGGGUGAGUAACACGUGAGUAACCUGCCCUUGACUUUGGGAUAACUUCAGGAAACUGGGGCUAAUACCUGAUAGGAGCUCCUGCUGCAUGGUGGGGGUUGGAAAGUUUCGGCGGUUGGGGAUGGACUCGCGGCUUAUCAGCUUGUUGGUGGGGUAGUGGCUUACCAAGGCUUUGACGGGUAGCCGGCCUGAGAGGGUGACCGGCCACAUUGGGACUGAGAUACGGCCCAGACUCCUACGGGAGGCAGCAGUGGGGAAUAUUGCACAAUGGGCGGAAGCCUGAUGCAGCAACGCCGCGUGCGGGAUGAAGGCCUUCGGGUUGUAAACCGCGUUCGCCUGUGACGAAGCGUGAGUGACGGUAAUGGGUAAAGAAGCACCGGCUAACUACGUG